This 1185-nucleotide long non-coding RNA is filed under the name Homo sapiens (human). RNAcentral's name for it is "HSALNT0167826". Lineage: Eukaryota; Metazoa; Chordata; Mammalia; Primates; Hominidae. The record is from RNAcentral.
CUGGAAUCAAACAACUAUUUUAACUUUCAGUUUUGUUAUUUACUAGCUGUGUGACCUCAGGCAAUUUACUUUGUUUUUCUGAACUUUAAUUUCUUAAUCUGCAGAAGAGCCAAUGGUGUAACUCUCAGUCCAAGGUCAAAAGCCGCAGCAUUUGGAGGGCUGUUGUGCAAGUCUUGAGGUCUGAAGGCUGAAGAAUCUGGAGAUCUGAUGUCCAAAAGCAGAAGAUGGGUGUCUCAGCUCCAGAAGAGACAGCAUGUCAAGUAAAAAUUGAGUGGGCUUCCUAUCUAUUUCACUUCGAGAAACACCAGGAUUAACUAGCCAACACCAUAGGUCUGCAUGAGUCAGAUUAUUCUGAUUGCUGCAUUGAAUCUGCUGUCCGAUUAUAUCCUACUAGAAAGCACAACUAUAUCUGCCUCACUCACCCCUGAAUUCCAGUAGGAAUUGGCUUGCAUGAUUAUGAAAGCCAGAAAGUUCCACAAUUUGCUGCCUGUAAUCUGGAGAACCAGAAAGGUUAAUGGUGUUACUCACUCUGAGUCCCAAGGCCCAGGAAACAGAAGCAAGGAUGUCUGAGGACAGAAGAAGAUGAAUAUCUCACUUCAAGCAGAAAAAGAAUGAAUUAACCCUUCCUCUACCAUUUUGUUCUAUUCAGGCCCUCAAUAGAUGGCCUCUGCAUUGUUGAGGGUGACUUUUUUACCCAGUCUACCAAUUCAAAUGCUCUUCUUUUCCAGAAACAUCCUUAUAGACACACCCAUAAAUAAUGUAUUACCAGCUUUCUGGGAAAAUCUUAGUCCAGUCAAGUUCACACAUAAAAUUAACCAUCACACAAACAUAUAAAGAAUACCUUUGUAAAGAAUAGAAGGCAUUACUAAACUUACCACUUUGACACUUAGAUUGAGAAUAUCUGUAUAUGCCUUUCUGUGUACUCAGAAGUAACUAUUAUAGUGAUCUUGGCAUUUUCAUUACCUUCUAUUGUUUCCUUACAGAUGUCUAAGGAAAUAAAUUAUUGUUUUGGCAUAUUUUUAAAAUGAUAUGAUAAUGAAUGUUAUACAUUCAUUAAAUUGCAUUUUUCUGUAUUCAUAUGCAACUUGCCUUUUGCAGUCAACAUUAUGUUAGGAAAUAAAAUCAUGUUGAUAUAUAUGUCUAUUCUGGAUGCUGUGGUACGCUGUUCAGAUUUCCUUUUCAGGA